This 1179-nucleotide long non-coding RNA is filed under the name Serinus canaria (Common canary). Its description in RNAcentral is "lncRNA (ENSSCAG00000001852.1)". The record is from RNAcentral. Lineage: Eukaryota; Metazoa; Chordata; Aves; Passeriformes; Fringillidae.
AAUGGAUGGAGGCUGGAUCAAUACUGGAUCAAUGCUGGAUCAAUGCUGGAUCAAUGCCAGAUCAAUACCAGAUCAAUGCUGGAUCAGUGCUGGAUCAAUACCAGAUCAAUGCUGGAUCAAUGCUGGAACAAUACCAGAUCAAUACUGGAUCAGUGCUGGAUCAGUGCUGGAUCAAUGCUGGAUCAAUACUGGAUCAAUGCUGGAUCAAUGCUGGAUCAAUACCAGAUCAAUACUGGAUCAAUGCUGGAUCAAUGCUGGAUCAAUGCUGGAUCAAUGCUGGAUCAAUGCUGGAUCAAUACCAGAUCAAUACUGGAUCAAUGCUGGAUUAAUGCCGGAUCAAUGCUGGAUCACUACCGGAUCAAUGCCGGAUUAAUGCUGGAUCAAUACUGGAUCAAUACUAAGCCAAUGCCAGAUCAAUGCUGGAUCAAUACCAGAUCAGCAAUGGAUCAGUUCCAGACUGAGGGAUCAGUGCUGGAUCAAUGGUGGAUCAAUACCAGACUGAUACUGGAUCAAUGCCAGAUCAGCACUGAUUUGGUGCUGGAUCAAUACCAGAUCAAUGCUGAGGCAAUGCCAGAUCAAUGGCAGAUCAAUGGCAGAUCAAUGGCGGAUCAAUGCCAGAUCAAUGCCCGAUCCAAUGCUGGAUCAAUGCCAGAUCAAUGGCAGAUCAAUGGCAGAUCCAAUGGCGGAUCAAUGCCCGAUCAAUGCCUGAUCAAUGCCAGAUCAAUGCCCGAUCAAUGCCCGAUCCAAUGCCGGAUCAAUGCUGGAUCAAUGCCAGAUCAAUGCCAGAUGAAUGCCCAAUCCAAUGCCAGAUCCAAUGCCGGAUCAAUACCGGAUCAAUACCAGAUCCAAUGCCUGAUCAAUGCCUGAUCCAAUGCCAGAUCAAUGCCAGAUCAAUGCCAGAUCAAUGCCCGAUCCAAUGCCCGAUCAAUGACUGAUCAAUGCCCGAUCAAUGCCCGAUCCAAUGCCAGAUCAAUACCAGAUCAAUGCCAGAUCAAUGCCCGAUCAAUGCCGGAUCAAUGCCCGAUCCAAUGCCAGAUUAACACUGGAUCAAUACUGAGCCAAUGCCAGCUCAAUGCCACAUCAAUGGCUGAUCAAUGCCCAAUCAAUCAAUGCCGGAUCAAUAUUGGCUAAAUGCUGGCUCACUGAUGGAUCGAUGCAAUGCCAGAUCAAUGCCUGAUC